UAGUCCACGCUGUAAACGAUGAGUGCAAGGUGUUGGGGGUCAAACCCCGGUGCCGCCGUUAACACAGUAAGCACUCCGCCUGGGGAGUACGUACGCAAGUAUGAAACUCAAAGGAAUUGGCGGGGACCCGCACAAGUAGCGGAGCAUGUGGUUUAAUUCGAUGCAACGCGAAAAACCUUACCAGGGCUUGACAUAAAAGUGACGAGGGAUAGAGAAAUACCUUUUCUCUUCGGAGACAGUUUUAC
Molecule: ribosomal RNA, 245 nt
Filed under: uncultured bacterium
Lineage: Bacteria
Description: partial 16S ribosomal RNA
Rfam family: Bacterial small subunit ribosomal RNA
Source: RNAcentral